UGCGCGAUACAUGCUAGCUAGACAAUUUUCACAGAGAGCCUAAUUAAGAACAGGUAUAUAGUUUCCAAAAUACUUUAAACGUUAUAUUUAUGUGAUAAAGUUCAAUUCGACCAAGCAACGCAAUACACCCAAAGAAGUGAAGAAAGAUCAACAAAACAACGUGCUACCAAACCAACACGGAGGACGACAUCAUGAUCAACCAUUAUGUUUUUAUUUUAGUCUCUCUUACCUAAGCCCUGGGUGGGCAUCUAGUGAGUGUGACCACAGCAAGUAUAACCUUGAUAACCCCUGUCUAAACAAUUAUAAAAAAAAGCAGUUUGUGUGCGGUACAAAGUUUUUCUCUCCUGUUUGAAUAGUAGAAGCUUGUUAUCAGCUACCUUAAUUCAACUAUAAUUAAGUAUUUUACUGUGGGACUGCAAGAUGGUAUGAUUAAUAAUAGACGCUGGUUCCUAUGUGGCCAGAAAAAUUAGCAGUCUGUUUUCAAGGCAAAGUGCAAAGGCCGUGACAACAGGUGCUGCUGCAUCAUCAUGUCCUUUUCGAGAUGAAAGCCCUGUGAAAGAAGUAGGAGAAGAUGAUGUUGUAAAAGAUAAUAAAGAGUAUGAGAGGAUGCAUGACAACGAAAA
Hydractinia symbiolongicarpus is the source of this 623-nucleotide long non-coding RNA. RefSeq lists it as uncharacterized. The record is from RefSeq and is a predicted model, not a curated record. NCBI's taxonomy places the organism in Eukaryota, Metazoa, Cnidaria, Hydrozoa, Anthoathecata, Hydractiniidae. The transcript has 2 exons.